GACAGAGGUGCCGAGCGUUAGGCGGAGUCACUGGGCUUAAAGCGUGUGUAGGCGGGCGGGCAAGUACCUUGUGAAAUCCCACGGCUCAACCGUGGAACGGCUGGGUAUACUGCCUGUCUUGAGCCAACUAGGGGCGAGCGGAACAGACGGUGGAGCGGUGAAAUGCGUAGAUAUCGUCUGGAACGCCAAAGGUGAAAACAGGUAGCUGGGGCUGUGCUGACGCUGAGACACGAAAGCCAGGGGAGCAAACGGG
This 253-nucleotide ribosomal RNA is filed under the name uncultured bacterium. RNAcentral describes it as "partial 16S ribosomal RNA". It matches the Rfam family "Bacterial small subunit ribosomal RNA", at positions 524 to 776 of the family's 1533-position model. The record is from RNAcentral.